UGGGGCGUCGCCAAGCGGUAAGGCACCAGGUUUUGAUCCUGGCAUACGCAGGUUCGAAUCCUGCCGCCCCAGCCA
This 75-nucleotide transfer RNA is filed under the name Gammaproteobacteria bacterium. Its description in RNAcentral is "tRNA-Gln". It matches the Rfam family "tRNA". From Rfam's summary of the family: Transfer RNA (tRNA) molecules are approximately 80 nucleotides in length. Their secondary structure includes four short double-helical elements and three loops (D, anti-codon, and T loops). The record is from RNAcentral. Lineage: Bacteria; Pseudomonadati; Pseudomonadota; Gammaproteobacteria. RNAcentral also lists the same sequence under 3 other names.